GUCUACAUCCAUGCCACCCUGAACAAGCCCAACCCUGUCUGAUCUCAGAAGCUAAGCAGGGCUGGGCCCUUGGAUGGGAGACCACCUAGGAAGACCAGGAGCUGUAGGCA
RNAcentral lists this ribosomal RNA (110 nucleotides) under Pteropus alecto (black flying fox). The record is from RNAcentral. Lineage: Eukaryota; Metazoa; Chordata; Mammalia; Chiroptera; Pteropodidae.